This 484-nucleotide ribosomal RNA is filed under the name uncultured bacterium. RNAcentral's name for it is "partial 16S ribosomal RNA". It matches the Rfam family "Bacterial small subunit ribosomal RNA", at positions 30 to 507 of the family's 1533-position model. The record is from RNAcentral.
AUUGAACGCUGGCGGCAGGCCUAACACAUGCAAGUCGAGCGGAUGAAGGGAGCUUGCUCCUGGAUUCAGCGGCGGACGGGUGAGUAAUGCCUAGGAAUCUGCCUGGUAGUGGGGGAUAACGUCCGGAAAUGGGCGCUAAUACCGCAUACGUCCUGAGGGAGAAAGUGGGGGAUCUUCGGACCUCACGCUAUCAGAUGAGCCUAGGUCGGAUUAGCUAGUUGGUGGGGUAAAGGCCUACCAAGGCGACGAUCCGUAACUGGUCUGAGAGGAUGAUCAGUCACACUGGAACUGAGACACGGUCCAGACUCCUACGGGAGGCAGCAGUGGGGAAUAUUAGACAAUAGGCGAAAGCCUGAUGCAGCCAUACCGCGUGUAUGAAGAAGGUCUUCGGAUUGUAGAGCACUUUAAGUUGGGAGGAAGGGCAGUAAGUUAAUGCCUUAAUGUUUUGACGUUACCAACAGAAUAAGCACCGGCUAACUACGUG